Rattus norvegicus (Norway rat) is the source of this 1009-nucleotide long non-coding RNA. RefSeq lists it as uncharacterized. Lineage: Eukaryota; Metazoa; Chordata; Mammalia; Rodentia; Muridae. The record is from RefSeq and is a predicted model, not a curated record.
UCCUGUGCUGACAUUUAUUUGCUACUUUGUUAAUCUUUAUUUUAGGUCAUUUUUGGUCACAACCGCAGGAACUGCUCAGUUCUCCUUUAGAACUGUAAUCAGAAACAAAGAGCUGCUGUCCAGUAUUCCUGUCCUGAUUAAAACACUUCCCCUCGCUGCAGACAGCACUCCUCAGAGCCUUGAACUGUGCAGUGACAGAGCAGGGACAGAGAGCUGCAGGAAGUCACAAAAUCUCUAGCUAUGCUUGGGACUGAUCAGAGUUCCCAAUGGGCUCACAAGCACACUCCCUUCAGCAGGACAGCACACGCACACAGGAGCCCUAAGCCCAUAACUGGGAAGGGCUGUUCCCGGUACCCCACAUUUUCUUGUGAGUCAUAUAAAUGCCAUCGAUAGCUUUGCUUAGUUUUUCAAGAGCAUAUCCUGACGAAACUGUGCUGAUUAGUCAGGGCUAUUUAGUACAGAGUGGGCACCCUGUGGAAGCUCUCUUCUAUGCUAGCCCAAGGCAGCUUCCACCCUCUCCAGGAGUCAUAACAAAGGCACUACUUUUAAGCUUCUUGGAAGAGGACUGUGGCUUUGGUAAAAACCCCAGGACGGACUGCGCUGCCUUAGCAGACUAACGUCCAGAGCAGACUCUAACGUGAAAAGUUCCUUUCCUCCCCAUUCUUCGACUUCGGUUUUGUGGCUUGUUUCUUUCCGGUAGAAACACAGUAAAGUCGGGGGCACCUCUGUGAGUGAAGAAUUAGAAAAACCCUCCCUGCCGCCAGAGGUCUUCCCUGCACACCCGCUGAUGAGCGGAUUCUCCUUAUCGGCCCUCCUUCAGGCUGCCUCGGACUCUCGGACUCCACCCACUGGACUCCCGCCAGACCCCUAAGCUCCUCCGCAGGGGGCCCCAGCAGUGCCUAAGGCUGAUCUCAGGAGGGAAUCGGUGGGCCCAGGUUGACUGUGAGAGCUUUGAGAUUCCCACAAAUCUCUAACACCUUUUUUCCUGAUAAAACAAGUAUAAAAUGAA